RNAcentral lists this ribosomal RNA (266 nucleotides) under uncultured bacterium. Its description in RNAcentral is "partial 16S ribosomal RNA". It matches the Rfam family "Bacterial small subunit ribosomal RNA", at positions 88 to 353 of the family's 1533-position model. The record is from RNAcentral.
UUGGCGACCGGCGCACGGGUGCGUAACGCGUAUGUAACCUACCUAUAACAGGGGCAUAACACUGAGAAAUUGGUACUAAUUCCCCAUAAUAUUCGGAGAGGCAUCUCUCCGGGUUGAAAACUCCGGUGGUUAUAGAUGGACAUGCGUUGUAUUAGCUAGUUGGUGAGGUAACGGCUCACCAAGGCAACGAUAUAUAGGGGGACUGAGAGGUUAACCCCCCACACUGGUACUGAGACACGGACCAGACUCCUACGGGAGGCAGCAUG